GGCAACUUGGCCGAGCGGUCUAAGGCGCCAGACUCAAGUUUCCCAUCAAAUGGUAACUUCCCCACAAACGGGGCGUAUUCUGGUCUCGAAAGAGGCGUGAGUUCGAAUCUCACAGUUGUCA
Transfer RNA from Colletotrichum fioriniae PJ7, 121 nucleotides. It matches the Rfam family "tRNA". Rfam says of the family: Transfer RNA (tRNA) molecules are approximately 80 nucleotides in length. Their secondary structure includes four short double-helical elements and three loops (D, anti-codon, and T loops). NCBI's taxonomy places the organism in Eukaryota, Fungi, Ascomycota, Sordariomycetes, Glomerellales, Glomerellaceae. The record is from Rfam.